UAUCUAUUGGUCAUAUCGUAUCAUUCAUUUACUAAUCUCUGUUUUGGUUUUGUUAUAUAUGUACAUGUUUUAGUUAUUAUUGUAUAUUCAUAUAUUUUAAACAAAAAUCAAACCCUGCACGGUGUUAUCAUUAUUUUUAUCCCUUAUGUAUCACUAAUUGCCAAACGCCCUUAUCCCUGUCUUAUAAGCUCCUACACCACUAACACCAUAUUUGGAUGCAAUCACCUACAGUCACAUGAUCACCCUUACCAUCACAAUCAUUCAAACUCACUAUACCAUUGAGUAAGUUAACCUGCAAAUUUGCUUCACUUCACCAAUACGAACGAUGAACAAUAAAGUGCGUAGUGUUGGAAUGUCCCGCAAACAACAAGACCUUUGGUAGGAUAACUUGACUAAUAACAUGUAUAAUAGUUACAUCCUUUCACUGUGUAAUUGGUUAUUUUCAGUUAUUUCAUAAUAAUUUGUUUUCCUCUUGGUCUCACAUUAUUU
Molecule: non-coding RNA, 489 nt
Organism: Paramuricea clavata
Lineage: Eukaryota; Metazoa; Cnidaria; Anthozoa; Malacalcyonacea; Plexauridae
Source: the annotation of a GenBank genome assembly